UACGUAUGGAGCAAGCGUUAUCCGGAUUUACUGGGUGUAAAGGGAGCGCAGGCGGUCUGGCAAGUCUGAUGUGAAAGGCCGGGGCUCAACUCCGGGACUGCAUUGGAAACUGUCAGACUGGAGUGUCGGAGAGGUAAGCGGAAUUCCUAGUGUAGCGGUGAAAUGCGUAGAUAUUAGGAGGAACACCGGCGGCGAAGGCGGCCUGCUGGACCGUAACUGACGUUGAGGCUCGAAAGCGUGGGGAGCAAACAGG
RNAcentral lists this ribosomal RNA (253 nucleotides) under uncultured bacterium. Its description in RNAcentral is "partial 16S ribosomal RNA". It matches the Rfam family "Bacterial small subunit ribosomal RNA", at positions 524 to 776 of the family's 1533-position model. The record is from RNAcentral.